AUGGUGGCCGAGCUGCGCCCCACGAUGGGGAAGCUUCAGCACCGCAUUGAGCCUUGGCAGGGCUGUUGGCUCUCUAAGGCCGCUCGGAUGGUGCUCAUUAACUCGUCCCUCUCCAGCUUGCUCCUAUUCAUCAUGAGUUUCUACAGCCUUCCUGAGACGCUGCACCAUGAGAUUGCCACAGUCCAAGGACACUUCUUCUAG
Molecule: ribosomal RNA, 201 nt
Filed under: Triticum aestivum (bread wheat)
Lineage: Eukaryota; Viridiplantae; Streptophyta; Magnoliopsida; Poales; Poaceae
Description: partial small subunit ribosomal RNA
Source: RNAcentral